GAUCCUGGCUCAGGAUGAACGCUGGCGGCGUGCCUAACACAUGCAAGUCGAACGGGAACCUCAUGACGGAGACUUCGGUUGAAGACAUGAGAAUUCUAGUGGCGGACGGGUGAGUAACGCGUGGGUAACCUGCCCUUAAGAGGCGGAUAACAGUGAGAAAUCACUGCUAAUACGGCAUAUGCUUACGGUGUCGCAUGACACAGUGAGGAAAGGAAUUUUGCUUAAGGAUGGACCCGCGUUUGAUUAGCCAGUUGGCAGGGUAACGGCCUACCAAAGCGACGAUCAAUAGCCGGCCUGAGAGGGUGAACGGCCACAUUGGAACUGAGACACGGUCCAAACUCCUACGGGAGGCAGCAGUGGGGAGUAUUGCACAAUGGGCGGAAGCCUGAUGCAGCAACGCCGCGUGAGUGAAGAAGUAUUUCGGUAUGUAAAGCUCUAUCGAUGGGGAAUAAGAUGAAGGUACCCAAGUAAGAAGCCCCGGCUAACUACGUGCC
RNAcentral lists this ribosomal RNA (494 nucleotides) under uncultured organism. RNAcentral's name for it is "SSU rRNA". It matches the Rfam family "Bacterial small subunit ribosomal RNA", at positions 15 to 509 of the family's 1533-position model. The record is from RNAcentral.